CACGAGAUCAAAUGACGAUCGAAGUUCCUCCACAUCGGCAGAGGUAAUCUCGAUCAGAAGAAAUAACAGGCCGCGGACGAUUAUAUCUGACUACCUCAACGCGCGCACAUGUGCUUCGAAUUUGACCAGUGUAAUUCGUUGAGAACUAUUUUUUCUAUGAAACUUUCCAAGCUUAGUUAUACCUCAGAGAAGCAAUCGAUCAUGUGCAGGCAGUAUAAAUACACAACGUACGCAUGGUGGCAGUCUAUCUCAUCGUUACAGAUAUAUCUUCCUUGAUUAGUUUUGUAAGCUCUUCAUCAGCGAUGGAGUACUCGACGAAGCUAGGGGUGUUGCUCGUAGCUCUCAUGUUGGCCAUGGCGGUCACGGCCCAAAACUCGGAGCAGGACUUCGUGGACGCCCACAACGCGGCGCGCGCCGACGUGGGCCUUGGGGAGGUGACAUGGGACGCUACGGUGGCAGCCUUCGCGCAGGACUACGCGGAUCAGCGCCGCGGCGACUGCCAGCUGAUCCAUACUCCUGAUGGCCGGCCGUACGGGGAGAACCUCUACGGAGGCGGCGGGACCGAGUGGACGGCGACGGACGCCGUGAAUUCGUGGGUGUCGGAGAAGCAGUACUACGACCACGACAGCAACACCUGCUCGGCGCCCGAGGGUGAGUCGUGCGGGCACUACACGCAGGUGGUGUGGCGCGACUCGACGGCCAUCGGCUGCGCCCGCGUCGUCUGCGACAGCGGCGACGGUGUGUUCAUCAUCUGCAGCUACAACCCGCCAGGCAACUUCCCCGGGGUGAGCCCGUACUAGGCUAUAUGCAUCAUGCAUGCAUGCGAGCGUGCAUGUACGUACGGCGUAUUGCAUAAAUAAAAUGAUUAAGCUCUGAUAACCACAGUGUGAUCAGAUGUGAUAUAUAAUUAACCAGCCGGCCGGAUUUGAGGCCAUAUAUUGUUUAGACCGGCUGUAUAUAUGUACCGUUGUGAUUCAGGUAAUAAGUUGUGUUAUUGUAUAAGCAGUGUUUAUGGAUGAAUAUAUGGUUCUACUAUUAUACUGUGCAUGGUAUAUGUGCCUGUGAAAAAAACCCAGCACACUUAGAAACCACUAAUCAAAGUGUCUUUCUUCCGUUUUGUCAUCUCGCACUUGUUCUUUAUGUUGUGCAUUUUUUUUCCGGAUCCCAACUCGUAAAACGGAGUAGAUCUCGAGAGGGCACACUAGGUCUUGUUCCUGAGACUCGCGCUCCCUCCUCCACGCCAUAGGCCACUCCCACCGUGACAGUCACCCAAUCUGUCAUUAUGGCUCACCCAUCCACUCCCAGGUUUCACUCUGGAUCCAGCUCCGGUCGUGGUCCCGUGCAAGCUCGCUCUCGACUAGCGGUCCAUCGUAGGUUUCGGACUCGCUUGCGGCCCCGCCCGUGAAUGCAGUAGAUCUGACCUCGACGCCACGAAUCCUGCCGCGGGGAGAGUCAUCCAACGCCAUGCAUGCCUAUGGUACUCCAGAUCUGGUGUUGUGAUUGAGCGGCAGUACCUAAAUCCAUCGUGGUCAUCCCCUACGCUCUUGUCAACAUUUCCUCUUCGGGCGAGGAGGAAGGAUGGACGAAGAAAUAAUCUCGAAGGAACACACACAAGCAAGGAGCCAUCGAUUAUUAGUGCACACGUACAGCUACACAGCUCGGACCGACACCGGGACAUCAAUGGUGCGCCGGGCCUUGAGGCCUUCUUAAGCUGCUUCAAAGGCCGGAUACUCUGGGUUGCAUCAUUUGCGAGCUGUCAGGGCAUUUCGGCAGAGAGUACCCUCAAAAUCCAUGAAACGGCGGUGUCCGGCGCCGACCUGGGCGCCAAUUCAAGAUCAGGUUCAAACAACCGGGCAAUUACCCCUUCAUCCACCAAAAGAGAUGAAAUGCUUUCACUAUUUGUUCUAGAAGAUAACUUACCGGCGUUUUUGUUAAUUACAAAUGAUUGUGAAGGUGUAUGGUAGGAAGCCAAUAACACUUAGUGUGGAAUAUUUUUAUAAUGCAAAGUAGAUAAUUAUUGUAUCGGAGAUGCCGGCUUCUUUCAAGUAUUAUAUAAACUAGAUGACCCGUUGCGCCGAUGGCGCAAAAGGCCGAGUGCAAGCCAAGUAUUGAAAGAGUGUGCAUUCAAAUAUGUAGACACAGAAUGAAACAUACAGAAAUAAGUAUGAAUUGAUGAUAGAUAGAUGGUCGUUGCUGAACAUGUUUUCUAAGAAGCUUAUGAACGAUCAUUUACAAUGUUAUGAGUAAGGCAUGUAGAUAGGCAGAGAUACGUUUGACAGAUGUAUCGUUGGACAUUCAGAACGAUUCUCUGAGUCAACUCUUCAUAGUUGCUAUUCUUCAUGGCCUGCAUUGCUCAAAGGAGAAAUUCAUUUGAUGUCAUCGUCGAGUUUCCAAUAAUUGUGGUGUGUUUGCUAGAGAUCAUAUUCAGACUAUGUUGUUGUAUUGCUAAGACGGUCAGCAACAUAUUUUACCUGUGAUAAAACAUGAUUGAGAUUGUUCUCUUUCAAUGUUGAACUAGCUGUGAAGUUUGUAUCUAUUAUGCGAUAAAGUUUCUUUGCUGCCAUGCGAUCUGUGACGCCCCCGAUUCAAUCGUACACUAAUCAUUCACGCAAAUGUGUACGAUCAAGAUCAGGGACUCACGGGAUGAUAUCACAACACAACUCUAAAACAUAAAUAAGUCAUACAAGCAUCAUAAUACAAGCCAGGGGCGUCGAGGGCUCGAAUACAAGUGCUCGAUCAUAGACAAGUCAGCGGAAGCAACAAUAUCUGAGUACAGACAUAAGUUAAACAAGUUGCCAUAAGAUGGCUAGCACAAACUGGGAUACAAAUCGAAAGAGGCGCAGGCCUCCUGCCUGGGAUCCUCCUAACUACUCCUGGACGUCGUCAGCGGGCUGCACGUAGUAGUAGGCACCUCCGGUGUAGUAGGGGUCGUCAUCGACGGUGGCGUCUGGCUCCAGGGCUCCAGCAUCUGGUUGCGACAACCAGGUAGAAGGGAAAGGGGAAAAGAGGGAGAAAAGCAACCGUGAGUACUCAUCCAAAGUACUCGCAAGCAAGGAACUACACUACAUAUGCAUGGGUAUAUGUGUAAGGAGGCCAUAUCAGUGGACUGAACUGCAGAAUGCCAGAAUAAGAGGGGGGGUAGCUAGUCCUAUCGAAGACUACGCUUCUGGCAGCCUCCGUCUUGCAGCAUGUACAAGAGAGUAUAUUGAAGUCCUCCAAGUAGCAUCUCCAAGUAGCAUCUCCAAAUAGCAUCUCCAAGUAGCAUCUCCAGUAGCAUCGCAUAGCAUAACCCUACCCGACGAUCCUCCCCUCGUCGCCCUGUGGAAAAGCGAUCACCGGGUUGUCUGUGGAACUUGGAAGGGUGUGUUUUAUUAAGUAUCCGGUUCUAGUUGUCAUAAGGUCAAGGUACAACUCCAAGUCGUCCUGUUACCGAAGAUCACAGCUAUUCGAAUAGAUUAACUUCCCUGCAGGGGUGCACCAACUUACCCAGCACGCUUGAUCCCAUUUGGCCGAACACACUUUCCUGGGUCAUGCCCGGCCGCGGAAGAUCAACACGUCGCAGCCCCACCUAGGCUCAACGGAGAGGCCAGCACGCCGGUCUAAACCUAAGCGCGCAGGGGUCUGGGCCCAUCGCCCUGAGCACACCUGCACGUUGCGUACGCGGCCGGAAGCAGACCUAGCCUAGUGGCGUUCCAGUCCAAUCCGGCGCGCGCCACUCAGUCGCUGACGUCACGAAGUGCUUCGGCUGAUACCACGACGCCGGGAUACCCAUAACUACUCCCGUGUAGAUGGUUAGUGCGUAUAGGCUCGUAACCAACUCAGAUCAAAUACCAAGAUCUUGUUAAGCGUGUUAAGUAUCCGCGAACGCCGAACAGGGCCAGGCCCGCCUCUCUCCUAGGCGGUCUCAACCUGCCCUGACGCUCCGCGACAAAGAUCCACUCGCGGGUGCUCCACCAGCCGACUCAACUAUAGUCUCCACAUGUAUCAUGUACAAGUAUAUAGUAUAUACCCGAGAUCACCUCCCGAGUGAUCUCGGCCCAAUAGUAUAGCACAGCAGACGGACAAGAAUGUAGGGCCACAGAUGAAAAAUACUAGCAUCCUAUACUAAGCAUAUAGGAUUGAAGGUAAAGGUAUCAACAGUAGUAACAAGGACAGGCUAUGCAUCAGGAUAGGUAUAACAGAAAGCAGUAACAUGCUACACUACUCUAAUGCAAGCAGUAUAGAGUAGAAUAGGCGAUAUCUGGUGAUCAAGGGGGGGGCUUGCCUGGUUGCUCUGGCAAGAGAGAGGGGUCAUCAACUCCGUAGUCGAACUGGGCAGCAGCAGCGUCGGUCUCGUAGUCUACCGGAGAGAAGAGGGGGGAAGAAACAAUGAAUACCAUGUAAACAGAUGCAUAUCGAUGCAUGACAAGACAAGUAACGAUGCUAGGCGCGCCCUAGCGUGGUAUGAGGUGGUACCGGUUAAGGGGGGAAACAUUCGGGAAAAUAUCCCCGGUGUUUCGUGUUUUCGGGCAGAGGAGCCGGAGGGGGAAAGUUGCAGGUUCGACAGGUUAGGGGUGUGUGGCGGACGAACGGACUGCGUAUCCGGAUUCGUCUCGUCGUUCUAAGCAACUUUCAUGUUGAAAUUAUUUUAAUCCGAGUUACGGAUUAAAAGAUAUGAUUUUCUAAAGAUUUUAUUAAUUUCUGGAAUUUAAUUAAUUAUUUAAUUAAUUCGAAAAUGGAUUUAUGACAUCAGCGUGAUGUCAUGCUGACGUCAGCAGUCAAAGUUGGUCGUUGACCUGGUCAACCUGUCAUGUGGGUCCAGUGGGACCCACCUGUCAUUCUCUGUUUAGGUUAAUCACAAAUUAGUUAAUUUAAUUAGUGAUUAGGUUAAUUUAAUCAGGAUUAGUUAACUUAAUUAAUUACUUAAUUACUUAAUUAAUAAUUAAUUAAUUUAUUAAAUCAUUUUUAUUUUUAUUUAUUAUUUUUAUUUUUAAUUCUUUUUUUUCUAAAAACGCUAUGGGGCGGGGCCCUGUGGUCAGUGGCCCGGGGGGGCUUGCGGGUCGGGCGCUGCGGCGCCCACUGGGCGCUCGCCCCAAUUCAGCGGCGAGGAGGACCGGGGCAUGGCCGGGCGGCCACCGGAGGGGAAUCGCCGAGGGGGGAGCAGCAGGUCGCCAGGGCGCGACGGCGGGUGCGGUGUAGCCCGCCCAGGCGGCGAGGGAGAGUUGGGUGCGGGCGCCGGCGGGGCCAAGCAGGGCGACGGCCAGGGCAGGGGGCGACGCCGUCCGGGGCAAGAUGAGGCCGGCGCGGGCGAAGGNNNNNNNNNNNNNNNNNNNNNNNNNNNNNNNNNNNNNNNNNNNNNNNNNNNNNNNNNNNNNNNNNNNNNNNNNNNNNNNNNNNNNNNNNNNNNNNNNNNNNNNNNNNNNNNNNNNNNNNNNNNNNNNNNNNNNNNNNNNNNNNNNNNNNNNNNNNNNNNNNNNNNNNNNNNNNNNNNNNNNNNNNNNNNNNNNNNNNNNNNNNNNNNNNNNNNNNNNNNNNNNNNNNNNNNNNNNNNNNNNNNNNNNNNNNNNNNNNNNNNNNNNNNNNNNNNNNNNNNNNNNNNNNNNNNNNNNNNNNNNNNNNNNNNNNNNNNNNNNNNNNNNNNNNNNNNNNNNNNNNNNNNNNNNNNNNNNNNNNNNNNNNNNNNNNNNNNNNNNNNNNNNNNNNNNNNNNNNNNNNNNNNNNNNNNNNNNNNNNNNNNNNNNNNNNNNNNNNNNNNNNNNNNNNNNNNNNNNNNNNNNNNNNNNNNNNNNNNNNNNNNNNNNNNNNNNNNNNNNNNNNNNNNNNNNNNNNNNNNNNNNNNNNNNNNNNNNNNNNNNNNNNNNNNNNNNNNNNNNNNNNNNNNNNNNNNNNNNNNNNNNNNNNNNNNNNNNNNNNNNNNNNNNNNNNNNNNNNNNNNNNNNNNNNNNNNNNNNNNNNNNNNNNNNGUGGGGGGAGUGGGGGGUCUCGGUGCCUAGGGUUUGCGGGGUGGGGGAUAAGGAGAGGGAGUGGGUGCCGACCUGGGCCGGCCUGGUUGGCCCGAUGGCCAGCUGGGCCGCGGUCUAGCAGGGGAGGGGGGAGUUUAGUUUUUUUUUACCUUUUGUAUUUUCUUUUAUUAUCUGUUUUCUGUUUUAAUUCAUUUAAAAGUAUUUAGGCAUUUUAUAAAAAUGUGUUUACUGAACUAUAAUUACCUAUGCCAAUUUUGGCACAGACCGAACAUUUUUGUUUUGAUGUUUGAAAACUUUUGAUGUUUGACAAUAUUUAAAUUUUUAAUUUGAAAAGUUUCGAACCGACGCGAGAUUAGCAACAGUAAACGAGGUGACGUGGCAUCAUUAGCAGAGGUUCACUGUAGCUUAAAUACCCGGGCGUCACAAUUCUCCUCCACUACAAGAAAUCUCGUCCCGAGAUUUAGGAGCGGGAGUAAGGGGAAAUGGAUUUGGUCACGAAAUUUUAACGAAUCUUCUCGGUCUUGGUUGCUCUUCUUGAAGUGGUAGAUCCAUAGCGUUGAUGUCUUCAUUCCUAUGCAUCAAUACAUCAUGAUGAGGUUGUCGUCCUUCCUUCAGGAACUCCAUCGUACUUACGAAAAUUAUAAGGGUUAACUUCGGAAGAACAGGCCUCUACAAGGUUGCUUAGCCUGUAGAUAACAAUAGGGAAGGUGGCGGAAAGUAACUCUCGAACUAAAACUUAAGAAUGUAUCGUGAGCAAAGUAAGAAGGUACAACAAGGAGUUCCAAGCGGAUAGACAAUCGUUCGAUGCCGGAAAAGAGUGCUAAAGGGGUUCAGAGCAUCAAGAUUAAGUAUUGCAUCUGAUACCGGAACAGAUCACUAGGAAGGUGGUUCGCGAAUUACACACGAAGCCAAGCAUGAGUAUUGACUUUGGGAAAGGGGGUACAGGAGGGUCAGGUUUCGAUCCUGUGGAACUGUGGGUUAUGGGCCCACCAUGUGGGUUAAAAGUAGGAAAGGCAGUGACGUCUUGCACAAUCAUGUAAGCAAGGCAUGUUAGAGGAUAGCCUGACAGUUAUGUCGGCAACAAUGUCGGUAUCAAGGGCGAGGGACGAAGAGAACCAUCUUCCUGCUCGUUGAACGAGGCGGACCAAUAGGCAAAGUUCUCGUCCAUCGGUGGUUACCGGAAUGUCAUCACCAAAAUAACAAGGUCUUUCUGACAGAAUUGUACACCGAGGUGUUUACAAAAGUAGGAGAAUAUUACUGCUUAGAUCUCAUAGAUCACAAGAAAGGUUAAACCAAACAAUGGAAAGGAAGAUAUGAUUAUCGGAUUUAACCAGAUCAAUGGAAAGGAAAAAUGUGUUUAAACACAUUUUCCAGGGGUAUAUCCUCCCCAAGGACAAGCAGAUGAUAUCCAUGACAGGAUAGUAGGUAGAAAACCAUUUUAGGUAAGGGAAGAAAAAUUUCAUGACAUUACCCAUACAACGGUGUUUGGAUAAUUGAUAAAGAGAAUUUAGCAUUGUGCUUCAAAUGUUCUUGGUGAUGAACGGAGUACCACAGACAUGCUUCAGGUAGCAAUGAUAUGGUGUUUCAAUCAAGGGCCCGACUUCGGAUACACCAAUGAUCCAUCAGGAGUAACUUAUAAAAUAAUUCCUACCACUUCCUCCAGGAGGAAUGGUUAUCCUUGCAAAAGAAAUCAUAAUGAUAGGUCCUCCAGCCAGGGGGGGUGCUAGGCAUGACAUCAUGUUACUGGGUCAUCAAAGGACAAACAACAUAACUCCUAGAAAGUUGUCCCAACCAUCAUAUCUGACCGAGAUUCAGAUCCAAUUGGUGUCAUGAUGCCUCAGACUCAGGAUGUCCGAGAAGAAAAGGCGCAACACAAAUCAUUGAAAUGGCAUUGCAAGAUUCUCGGGAAAUGAACUAUGGGAGCGGGUUCCUGAAACAAUAGUUCAUCAUUAAACCAAGGAGAGGUGAGGAGGUGGCUGAUUGACUCAGCGACAAUUCAUUGAGAUUUUCAAAAGAUGGAUUUCCACAAUAAUGUGAACAAGAAGAUGACAUUUGUCAGAUCAAAUGGUAUAGUGAUGUAUGCUCGAGGAAAACAUACACAAUUGAACAUUGGUUGAAAAGUGCACCCGAAAUAUGGGUUGGGUUGCACGACCAAUGUCAGAAUGGUGAUUCAAUAGUCAAUAGCCUAAGAAUGAACUUUCGACCAUUAACUUCAAAAAAAUAGGGUUGCUAGAAGGAAAGAAUCCAAACAACACCGUUCACUUGUUGGAAUUAACACGGGGACCCAGAAAGAAUGGUGAUGGUGAGAAGUAUUUCUAUGUCAAGAAUUCUCAAGAGGUGGAACAAAUCUCAGAACAUUCUUGACAUAAAGGAUGGUAAUACUCCAAGGUAAAGAAGAACAAUUGCUGGAUAGCAAGGAACUCAAGGUAUAACACCAAACAUGAACAAGCUUGUGUUGGUGGGAGGGCAAUAAAGUGGUCGACGAUAAUACAAUUCAUCGAGGGCAAGGAUGGUAUUUCUCAUCAUGAAUUCAAUUGAUAUCCUGGAUGAGCUCAGAAUGUUGAUGAUCACGACACCUUUGUCGCGAGAGUUCAUGAAGAUGUAAUCGAGCGGUAACGACAUCAAGUCAAGUAAUGAUGAAGUGAAAGGUUAUUGGAACCAAGGGUAUGACUCAAACUCGAAACCAAGCUUGUUGUUCAAGGCAAAAUGAUAUGACGAUGAGGAUCGACGUAAGGUUAGUUCAUCGUCGAAAAUUGGUGCUCCGAGAAUAAGGACCAGGUAGCACAGUUAGAAUCGUCACGACAAUGAUAUAGCCAAACAGGCUAGGAAUGGCGUGAUCGGGUACAAACUCGUACUUAUAGAAGCUUACUGAAGAGUUGUUGAACCGAAGAGCGGACUCGGUUCAGUUAUCGGUGUCUUUGAGUGUUCAAUAACUCAGAGCCCGCGAAAAAUUGGAAUCAGUGGGAAGGUAGCACUUGAUGAAGAACUCAUAAAAAGUUAUGCAGUUCCAUGAUAAUCUCGAGAUACUAGGGGGGUAAUACUCGACACAAGAUCAAAGUAAAGGUUGGACUGGUGUAUUGAUCCAUAGAAGACAAUUGUUUUAACUUGUCCGAGAAAUGAGAUCAAAGAAGAACAAUCAUGGUCGGAACCACGGUUGCAAAAGGCCAGAUCCUAGAUAUAGCAUGAACUUAUACCAAAGGAAUAAUUUAUUUAAGAGAAGCUUUAAUGAUAAGAUCUACAUCGUGUCCAUGGGCAUGAACACAAGUUCAAGGUCGACUCCCACUUCUCCAAUGCAUAACCUUUCAUUCACUUCUCACGUUCGAUGAAGUUGCAGUGUUGAAAUUUUAUCUGGUGAAGCACCAGAAGAGUAUGACUCGUGAAAACUUUCGGGUUCACACGGUUUAGAGAAUGCAUAUGUUCAACCCAUAGGGUCUUCUUAGAAACAUAUACCACAAGUUUCAAGAGUAAAUAACACAAGCCCGAAAGCAGAGCAUGGUUGACCAAGAAGAGGAUACAACUUAACAAAGGCAUUAUGUAUCAGGGGAAGAACUCACAAGGUGAUCAAAUGUGAAGGACACUGUCGGAUAACAAUCCAACAAAGGACUUGAUGGUCCACAAAGGAUCUGAUACGAGUAUCGGUACUCAACUAGAGGAAGAAGAAUGCAAGGAGAUCAGAUUAUAGAAACAACUGACUAACUCAAUUGUCAAAUGCAAAGGAAUUAUGAUUUCCAAAUCAAGGGAUCAGAAGCAAUGCUCUGAUUAGGGAUGGAUAAGUUGAAUAGCCUUAGGGUACAAUCAACGACAAUUGGAUUGGUCGAGAACCAAUUCCAGUUAAAAGAAUGGAAGCUCAGCCGGAAAGGUAAUUUAUAAGGAUCAAUGAUGAUUGCGUGUAUUCGCAGCAUAUUGAGUCAACAGACUCAAAAUGAUAAUGACAAGGAAUGUCAAUAAGAUUUCUAUACUUAUGGGAUUAAUCAUAAUGAAAGCAAACAAGAAAUUCCAGAGCAAUAGGUUGCUGAGGAUUUUCGGAAUAUCGGGUGGUAUUUCGAAGACUUUUGUGUAACACAUGAACAACUAGGGGAUGAGCGGAUACUCGAUAAGUGCGAGAAUUAACCGUAGGGGUAUUCAAGUGACAAAGAACAGCAAGGCAGUAAGCUCAAGGGAUUAUCGAAACAACGACGAGUUUUUCAGGGUAUCUUGUAAUAACAAGACCACUGGGGAUGAAUGUAAGAAUAACAAAUGCAAGUAGUUAUCCAUAAGGGUUUGCGGUGGAAGGUGAAUUGCAAACGCGAUGAACACAAGUUCUCGGGUUAACAGCGGAGAGUAUCUUCAGGGUCUUCUGGUGCAGCAGACGAUCAUUAGUAAUAAGGGGCUCUCCGGGUGAAAGUGAUAACGAGAUCCUAAUGUUAGAUUUAGUAAACUUCAUUUAACCCGAAUAGAGGAGAGAUCAGAGUCCCAGAGUAAAGGUCGAGGAGUAAAAGAUCCUAGUACCACCCAAUGGCGACGUGGGCCCGUAAGGCACACAGCCAUGUUAGUAAAAGUUUUGUAAUGUCUAGACUCGACUUCGGCCAAGGAGUUGGAAAGGGGGAUUCCUACAGGCAGUCGGCUCUGAUACCAACUUGUGACGCCCCCGAUUCAAUCGUACACUAAUCAUGCACGCAAAUGUGUACGAUCAAGAUCGGGGACUCACGGGAAGAUAUCACAACACAACUCUAAAACAUAAAUAAGUCAUACAAGCAUCAUAAUACAAGCCAGGGGCCUCGAGGGCUCGAAUACAAGUGCUCGAUCAUAGACAAGUCAGCGGAAGCAACAAUAGCUGAGUACAGACAUAAGUUAAACAAGUUGCCAUAAGAUGGCUAGCACAAACUGGGAUACAGAUCGAAAGAGGCGCAGGCCUCCUACCUGGGAUCCUCCUACCUACUCCUGGACGUCGUCAACGGGCUGCACGUAGUAGUAGGCACCUCCGGUGUAGUAGGGGUCGUCGUCAAUGGUGGCGUCUGGCUCCAGGGCUCCAGCAUCUGGUUGCGACAACCAGGUAGAAGGGAAAGGGGAAAAGAGGGAGAAAAGAAACCGUGAGUACUCAUCCAAAGUACUCGCAAGCAAGGAACUACACUACAUAUGCAUGGGUAUAUGUGUAAGGAGGCCAUAUCAGUGGACUGAAUUGCAGAAUGCCAGAAUAAGAGGGGGGAUAGCUAGUCCUAUCGAAGACUACGCUUCUGGCAGCCUCUGUCUUGCAGCAUGUAGAAGAGAGUAGAUUGAAGUCCUCCAAGUAGCAUCUCCAAGUAGCAUCUCCAAAUAGCAUCUCCAAGUAGCAUCUCCAGUAGCAUCGCAUAGCAUAACCCUACCCGGCGAUCCUCCCCUCGUCGCCCUGUGGAAAAGCGAUCACCGGGUUGUCUGUGGAACUUGGAAGGGUGUGUUUUAUUAAGUAUCCGGUUCUAGUUGUCAUAAGGUCAAGGUACAACUCCAAGUCGUCCUAUUACCGAAGAUCACGGCUAUUCGAAUAGAUUAACUUCCCUGCAGGGGUGCACCAACUUACCCAGCACGCUUGAUCCCAUUUGGCCGGACACACUUUCCUGGGUCAUGCCCGGCCGCGGAAGAUCAACACGUCGCAGCCCCACCUAGGCUCAACGGAGAGGCCAGCACGCCGGUCUAAACCUAAGCGCGCAGGGGUCUGGGCCCAUCGCCCCGAGCACACCUGCACGUUGCGUACGCGGCCGGAAGCAGACCUAGCCUAGUGGCGUUCCAGUCCAAUCCGGCGCGCGCCACUCAGUCGCUGACGUCACGAAGUGCUUCGGCUGAUACCACGACGCCGGGAUACCCAUAACUACUCCCGCGUAGAUGGUUAGUGCGUAUAGGCUCGUAACCAACUCAGAUCAAAUACCAAGAUCUCGUUAAGCGUGUUAAGUAUCCGCGAACGCUUAACAGGGCCAGGCCCGCCUCUCUCCUAGGCGGUCUCAACCUGCCCUGACGCUCCGCCACAAAGAUCCACUCGCGGGUGCUCCACCAGCCGACCCGACUAUAGUCUCCACAUGUAUCAUGUACAAGUAUAUAGUAUAUACCCGAGAUCACCUCCCGAGUGAUCUCGGCCCAAUAGUAUAGCACAACAUACGGACAAGAAUGUAGGGCCACAGAUGAAAAAUACUAGCAUCCUAUACUAAGCAUAUAGGAUUGAAGGUAAAGGUAUCAACAGUAGUAACAAGGACAGGCUAUGCAUCAGGAUAGGUAUAACAGAAAGCAGUAACAUGCUACACUACUCUAAUGCAAGCAGUAUAGAGUAGAAUAGGCGAUAUCUGGUGAUCAAGGGGGGGGCUUGCCUGGUUGCUCUGGCAAGAGAGAGGGGUCGUCAACUCCGUAGUCGAACUGGGCAGCAGCAGCGUCGGUCUCGUAGUCUACCGAAGAGAAGAGGGGGAAGAAACAAUGAAUACCAUGUAAACAGAUGCAUAUCGAUGCAUGACAAGACAAGUAAUGAUGCUAGGCGUACCCUAGCGUGGUAUGAGGUGGUACAGGUUAAGGGGGGGAAACAUUCGGGAAAAUAUCCUCGGUGUUUCGUGUUUUCGGGCAGAGGAGCCGGAGGGGGAAAGUUGCGGGUUCGAUAGGUUAGGGGUGUGUGGCGGACGAACGGACUGCGUAUCCGGAUUCGUCUCGUCGUUCUGAGCAACUUUCAUGUAGAAAUUAUUUUAAUCCGAGUUACGGAUUAAAAGAUAUGAUUUUCUAAAGAUUUUAUUAAUUUCUGGAAUUUAAUUAAUUAUUUAAUUAAUUCGAAAAUGGAUUUAUGACAUCAGCGUGAUGUCAUGCUGACGUCAGCAGUCAACGUUGGCCGUUGACCUAGUCAACCUGUCAUGUGGGUCCAGUGGGACCCACCUGUCAUUCUCUGUUUAGGUUAAUCACAGAUUAGUUAAUUUAAUUAGUGAUUAGGUUAAUUUAAUCAGGAUUAGUUAACUUAAUUAAUUACUUAAUUAAUUAAUUAAUAAUUAAUUAAUUUAUUAAAUCAUUUUUAUUUUUAUUUAUUAUUUUUAUUUUUAAUUCUUUUUUUUUCUAAAAACGCUAUGGGGCGGGGCCCUGUGGUCAGUGGCCCGGGGGGGCUUACGGGUCGGGCGCUGCGGCGCCCACUGGGCGCUCGCCCCAAUUCAGCGGCGAGGAGGACCGGGGCAUGGCCGGGCGGCCACCGGAGGGGAAUCGCCGAGGUGGGGAGCAGCAGGGCGCCAGGGCGCGACGGCGGGUGCGGUGUAGCCCGCCCAGGCGGCGAGGGAGAGUUGGGCGUGGGCGCCGGCGGGGACAAGCAGGGCGACGGCCAGGGCGGAGGGCGACGCCGUCCGGGGCAAGAUGAGGCCGGCGCGGGCGGAGGCACGCCANNNNNNNNNNNNNNNNNNNNNNNNNNNNNNNNNNNNNNNNNNNNNNNNNNNNNNNNNNNNNNNNNNNNNNNNNNNNNNNNNNNNNNNNNNNNNNNNNNNNNNNNNNNNNNNNNNNNNNNNNNNNNNNNNNNNNNNNNNNNNNNNNNNNNNNNNNNNNNNNNNNNNNNNNNNNNNNNNNNNNNNNNNNNNNNNNNNNNNNNNNNNNNNNNNNNNNNNNNNNNNNNNNNNNNNNNNNNNNNNNNNNNNNNNNNNNNNNNNNNNNNNNNNNNNNNNNNNNNNNNNNNNNNNNNNNNNNNNNNNNNNNNNNNNNNNNNNNNNNNNNNNNNNNNNNNNNNNNNNNNNNNNNNNNNNNNNNNNNNNNNNNNNNNNNNNNNNNNNNNNNNNNNNNNNNNNNNNNNNNNNNNNNNNNNNNNNNNNNNNNNNNNNNNNNNNNNNNNNNNNNNNNNNNNNNNNNNNNNNNNNNNNNNNNNNNNNNNNNNNNNNNNNNNNNNNNNNNNNNNNNNNNNNNNNNNNNNNNNNNNNNNNNNNNNNNNNNNNNNNNNNNNNNNNNNNNNNNNNNNNNNNNNNNNNNNNNNNNNNNNNNNNNNNNNNNNNNNNNNNNNNNNNNNNNNNNNNNNNNNNNNNNNNNNNNNNNNNNNNNNNNNNNNNNNNNNNNNNNNNNNNNNNNNNNNNNNNNNNNNNNNNNNNNNNNNNNNNNNNNNNNNNNNNNNNNNNNNNNNNNNNNNNNNNNNNNNNNNNNNNNNNNNNNNNNNNNNNNNNNNNNNNNNNNNNNNNNNNNNNNNNNNNNNNNNNNNNNNNNNNNNNNNNNNNNNNNNNNNNNNNNNNNNNNNNNNNNNNNNNNNNNNNNNNNNNNNNNNNNNNNNNNNNNNNNNNGUGCCUAGGGUUUGCGGGGUGGGGGGAUAAGGAGAUGGAGUGGGGGCCGACCUGGGCCGGCCUGGUUGGCCCGAUGGCCAGCUGGGCCGCGGUCCAGCAGGGGAGGGGGGAGUUUAGUUUUUUUUUACCUUUUGUAUUUUCUUUUAUUAUUUGUUUUCUGUUUUAAUUCAUUUAAAAGUAUUUAGGCAUUUUAUAAAAAUGUGUUUACUUCACUAUAAUUACCUAUGCCAAUUUUGGCACAGACCGAACAUUUUUGUUUUGAUGUUUGAAAACUUUUGAUGUUUGACAAUAUUUAAAUUUUUAAUUUGAAAAGUUUCGAACCGACGCGAGAUUAGCAACAGUAAACGAGGUGACGUGGCAUCAUUAGCAGAGGUUCACUGUAGCUUAAAUACCCGGGCGUCACACGAUCUCCAAUGAGGCUAUUGCACUAGCUGUUGCUAAAAUAGUUGAUUAUUCCGUCUUUUCUUUUUGUUGAUACUCUAGGGCCUGGCAUUUUUCUUGAGCUGGUUGUGCCUUGUCAUAGUUUUUGUCUUGCAAAACUUUGCUGUAAGAGCCCUGUAUGCAUUUGAGAGCCUCAAUUGCUAGUCAGUUCUCAGCUUCUUCGAGUUUGUCGUACACAUGGAUGGACAUUGAUUUUUGUGGAAGUCCAUGGUCCAGUUGUUGCUUACAUCCAUAGAAGUGAAUUGUUGCGUCAAGACCGACCAUCCGCCCCUUUUGUGUUGAGUAAACUGCAUUUGGGAGGCCAAGCUUGUGCAUCAUAGCGUUUAGUACUUUUGCUGGAAUCUUCACUUUUUCCAUUGCAGUUGUUAAAUGAUACAAGGAAGAAUGUACUGUUAGAAACUAUAGUCUAUGAUUUUGUAUCUGCUUGUAUGUUCACGAAUCUAUAGAAAGAUAUACCAUUAUCACAGUAACCAAAUUAUAUGUGUUGUGUACCUAUCUGCAAAGAGAGCAGUAGGGCAUUCAAAUCAUGUAUAUGUGACUGAUACUUAAUAGAUACACGACCACAAAAGGAUGCGUAGCACAUAGAUGAUUACCAUAGUCUAAGGCCUAUGUAUGUCUCGUUCUUUAGAGCAAGAACAAAAGGGUUGAGAUAUCACUGAAACUAAAUCUCGACUACACUGCAGAUGAAACAACAUGUGUUUGCUUCAGUGGUCACAUAGGCAUGGCAGUUAGGUUAGACGCAGCAAAAGUAAUUAGAAACGGCCUUUCAUUCUUUCUAGGCAUUGUUCUACUUACUAUAAACAAAAAGGUUGAAAAUAUAGGUUGAUUACAUAGGUAAGCAGUGAGCUGGCGCUGAUGGAUAUCCUCCUUAGCCACAACUGCAAUGGCCACAAAGUGGGGGCUUCAUGAGGGCAAAUGUUCUCGUUAAAACCCGGUACCAAAACUCUAAUGCAGACUGCUUUGCACUAUUUCAGGUGGUGGAUCUGUAGAGAAUCAACAAUAUGACAGGAAACACUAUCAAUUGCAACAUCAACAUAUGUCUUAAUUUUCUCAUGAUCUAAUAGAGUAAGCAAAUAAAAUCUCAGGUAACCACCUGGUACACAAAACAAAGGACAUUUAAAUCCUGAAACCUGGAGAUAUUAGAUAUACAUGGUGUCUUCCACAUAGACCAGGAAGAAAAAUAAUAGUACAUCAGUAGAAGCUAUAUUCUAAUGUAAUACAUGUAAUUUAUAUAUCCUGGAAAUAUAAACAGAAAAAGAAACUGAGCAAUAUACACCAUGCAUGUUCAGAUAAUCAUGCUUAAAGAAAGUGCAAUGCAUACUAUGGAAUCACACAGCCUAAAUCCAUCCUCGUCUAGAAGACUGCAUUAUAACCAUACAUCAAGAAAUUAAUAGAAAAGGGGGUUUGCCCGGAUGACAAAAAAUUGUGUGACAGGCAGCACAGAGUUUUUAUAUUUCCAAGCCAAAAUAUAUUACAAAAAGAUAUUAGAGACAAUGGCUAUGAAGAACUAAGCAUCUAUAUGGAGUGGGGGUGAGAGACGGACCCUUCAACAUUUCACUAUCCACAGUUAUUCCUGAAUGACAUGCAUUCAUUCUUCAUCCUAGAAGCAUCGAUGCUGCACCACGUUGUCAAACGUCAAUGAUUAAUCAAACACAUGUCUAUAAAAAAGUCUGUUUAGAUAUGUUGAUCCUGCAAAAUAAAUAAAUGGGUGGUCAUUAUUAGGAAUUCAUCCUGGGGUUUGCUAAUGAAUGGAAAGCUAUAGUGCAUAGGAUUCUAAAUCCUACAAAGGAUUCUUUCUUUGGGAACAACAUAUGACCACAAAUGUAUGCUUUUUUCCUUCAGCCUGCUUAUGUUCUGGUGUUCACGACAAGUGACCUGCAUUUUCACCCCUAGUGUGGUACCAUUUUGUAUCAGGUAUAUUAAAAAUAAACUGUGUGGUUAGGCUCAUGAUUGCCAAGAACAAUUACGACCUUGGUAGUGUGGCUAUCAACCUGCGAUGGACUAAACAAUACUCUUAUUGUUUCUGUAUAUCCAGGAACUUCAUGAAUUGCAUUUGCGACAGUCAGGUAUUAAUAACCACAUAAGAAUGACACACAAAUAUAAUAUCUUGGUUGCACCAUACAUUUGAAAGAUUAGGUACUUAGCAGGUUCUAGUGGGGAGUGAUGAUUUUGAUCCUUUAUCAGGUGAUUCAAGAGAUUCCUAAAGAAUCAAUACACACAGUUUCAAACCAACAAAGCAGUGCAAAAGAACAAGCGGAAGGUACCUCUUAUGGCAUGUCUUGUCAUGCCAUCGAUUGGUGAAGGUGGCACUGGAGUUCAAACAAUUCCAUCUCUGUGCAUAAUUGCAAUACAUCCUUUCGGCUGAACCAAUCAUGUUUCUGAAGCCCAGGAUGUUGCCACCAAGAGAAUCCUUUUGCAGUUCACGUCAUCAACGAAAUAUCAUAUCCCUUUCUCUUUCAAGUGUAUCAUCAAGUAACCUAUCUUUUCAUUGAUCUUAUUUCCCCAAAUUAAGACUGUCUGAGUGCCUUGCUAUCGCCUACUAAAGGAACUGUUCUGUGGAUUUUAACGAACUGCCUGCAGUACAUAAAAGUUAUAUCAACUUACAUACAAAAAAGGUUAAAUAUCUAUUUCAUGACUACAUUAAUAUUUCCCUCAAGCAAAAACCUAAAUAACCAGUUCUAAGUUUAGCUCAAACUUCGACUGAGUUACUGAGUCACUCAUUGGUCUGUUAAUAGCUUUUAAAUCGCUUAACCGAUCUCAUCAAAUAAACUAUUCUCAAAUACCUAUAGAGAAUUCCCUAUAACUUUAUUUCAGAUGAUUGCGACUAAAACUGUCUCUAACUUUGUUGAAGACAGGUAAACAGAUCUUCUCACAGCCUCGUUAUUACUAAAUAGUAGCAUCGCUUCUGGCUUAACUCCUAAACUACCAAUCAAAUUUCAGUGAAACCAGCACCAUUGGAAACAUAAAAACAAGAGCUACAACUGUUGUUCUAGGAGUACAUCGAAAUUCCGCACAGAUUAUGCCCAGAAUUUGAAAGAAACUUAGUGCUAAUAUAUACUACCUAGCAGCUACGAAUCUGAAUAUAAUUCAACCUUAUCUCAGCACCUGCAUGUGUUUGCUACAAGAGAAAAGAAACAAAAUACGGACAACAUCUGCAGUCUGCUGUGAGCAGAUGCCAACUCCAAUGGGGCUGAACCCGGGUGUCGUCCUCCUCGGUGGUCUGUGAUGCAAGCUUCCUAGGUAAGCAUCUAAGUGUUACAAAUAUACUUGUGUAUUUCUACAGGGACGUAGACAUAUAGUUUUUUUUAGAUAUGUACAUAAUUCAGGGAGGUUUAUGGCUGAUUCAGUUCAAGCAAGUCGCCUUUUCCAUACUUGUUUAGAAGUGUACAUACUUGUUUAAACGUUACUGCAAUCCUCAGGGGAAAUCAGCUAUGCAGACCAAAAAUAUGACAAAUUUAGAAGUGUGUAGUUAUUACGCAAGAAAUCACCAGGAAGAUCAAUUUGGAUAACAUGUUGUUAGUGUUACUUUUCUAUAUAAAAGAACUUAACAAAUAAGAAAUAACCUAGAAGAUACAAAAGGAGGCACGGAUAUAUAUUUAAAAACUAUAGGGAAUGAAAUUGGUCAGCUAUCAACAAAAAGACAGGGAGUGCCCUCAUAAAUUUGAGAACGAGCAUCACAAUAAUCUGAUCACUACAAAAUAUGGUUGUAACUUGUUUUUUCUGCAAUUAAACAACCAAAAGCAGUGCACAAUAUAUAUGGAAAAAACACUGCAUCAUCUCCCAGAAGCAGAAAAAGUUAUAUUAGCCCAUCAUCUGCACUCUAGGUAUAUCAAAAUUAAACUAAGCGAACCUGACACAGCCAAGAGCCGAAUUUUAUCAUGAUAAAUGACAAUAACAUGAGUAACAACCAGAAUAAUUAGUACAACGCUAGUAAAAAUGGAAGACCACAGCUUGGGAAUAGUAGAUGUGAAGUUAUCAAGAAAUUACCUGAAUGCUCCUAUGUGUAGUGAGGGAAACAGACUAAACUGAAGCCUCAUGACCUUAAAAUAUGCAAGUUUAGCAUGUUCUUUUUCAUUCCAAAAACAGUGACAUCAGUUGAUUAACCUCAACUUAAAGAUGGCCCCAAACAGGAAGAAAUAAAAAGAAAGCUAUUACACAAGAAGUUUGGCAACGGAACUGGUAAAUAAUACAUAUGAAUCCUUAUGAGAUAACAAUUAUAUAAACUGUGCCUGAGGAGACUAUAUAGUUGAAGAGAUUCAGUAUGGGGUAUCAAUUUCAUAAGCAUAAGAUAUAUUUACCAAUUGGCGAGCCGCCUAACCCUCCAUGUUCUGAACUGAAGUGCGAUGCAAACAACAUCUACACAAAACCUGAAACACAUUGUCAACAAAUUUUAGUAUCUUACAAAGCCUCCCCAGGAUGAGAUAGAGUUGACAGAGAAGAGUUUCAUACCAAUUGAUAAUUAGCCAGGGGGGCUUGCAUACCUGAAAAGAGCAUAGCAGAGCAAAAGUCCAUACUACUGGAAGAAAAUCUCCAUUUUCUAGUCGAUAUGAACCUAGCUACAAAUCUCCACCGACGGCGGCUGCGCAAGGGAUGAAUUUCAGUGCUUUGGAUAAUUAGUGAAAUUGCAUUUUUAGAAGGAAGCUACAAUUUUCAUGUGCUACAUGACUACAUAUAGAGGGAUACCUGCUUGAUUGCAGCUUUCAGGCUUGCCGACAUCAAUCCCAGGGAGAACUCUCUUUGCGCAACACACCUCAAGCUCAUGUUUUUAUUAUCUCUGCUCAUCCAAAGAAAAUGGGAGCUAUCUGAAACGAAAAUUGAAAUGAAACUGCUCCUGUUCUAGGGUACCACCGAUCAGUAUGCAAAGAAAAGAUACCCAAAAAAAGGAAACUGCUCCUGUUCUAUGGUUCCAGGACAAUCCGUACGCAGAGAAAAGAUCAACCAUAGAUUUCUGGAGAGGACUAACCGACCUUGAAGGCGAUGAUGUUGUUGGGGCCGCUCUCGCGUGGGAGAGUAAGGAGGAGGAGCUGCGCCUGCCCCCUCCCGCGAAGAAGAGGUUGGAGCCCCCUGCGGCUGCUUCUCCCCUACUUCAGAUCGAGGUCGCGCUCGACAGAUCGAGCUCCACCUGCCAUGGCAACGAGGAGAAGAAGGUUCGGAGGUCCCCGAUGGCUGGUGCCUCUAUCCUCGCCGCUCAUCCCUCCAUUGCUGGCCUCCCCUACUGGCCGUCGAGCUGCGGGGGAGGGGGGAGGGGGUGGGGGGAGGGGCGGAGCAGGAGGGGACGUCGGUGGGAGGAGGGGCGGCGAUGGGAGGAGAAGGAGGAGGGCGACGAGGAGGGGGAGGCGAGUGGGACGGCAGGCGGCGGCCAGGGUUUCUCCACGGGAGCGGUUGCGAUUUAUACCCCUGGACAUAAAAAGACCAAAAUGCCCUCGAUGGGGCACAUAAUUUACAGGCGGUGGCACGGCGAUUUAAAGGCGACGUCUAUGGCUUCAUCCUGCCUAGCGGUUCUCCAGGGUUUAUAGGUUAAAUUGCAAUCUUAUAAAUAGUGUUCCUUAGUUCAGUUGUUGCUCAAUAGAACGUCUCAAAAUAUCUUCGAAAGAGUUCAAUCAAUUCUUGCGAGUUAACCCGCCGACAAUGAUUUAUGUUUAUUUGAUACUCUGGGUGCAUAUAUGCAGAAAAUAAAUCGUAUUGGUUGCAGGUUAUGAUGCUAAUAUUGGACAAGGAAGCACUGGUGCAGCUACUGUAAUCUGGAGGGGUCUAUCAUAUUGCCCGUGUCUUCUCUCUCAUGUUGUGACUCGAGGCUGAAGAAACCGAAAUUAUUGCCUGACUGAAGGACUAAAAGCACCGACUACAGUUGUAAUCCAUCCCAUCAUUCAGAUUGUUUGGUUGUUGUUUCUACUUUGAAGAAUGCAGUGCACAAUAAAUCUCGACUUCACAAUAGUGAUGUGGAAACAAGGGAAUAAAUUUGUGAAGAUUGCCAGCAUGAUUCUUAUCGAUUUGGUAAAUUUUAAAACCAUAUAACAAAAAAAAAUCUCAAACAUGUUCUGUCUGGUUUUUGUCGCUAGCUUUUAAACAGUAGAAUAGAUACUCUUGGUAUAGAUUGGCAAGUGUCUGAACUGAACCAGAAAAGAAAAUAUAUUUUGUAUAUACUGAUCAGUGGGUAAGUCAUGCAGGUUGCUCUGGCAAUUAAAAAUCUAGCUAAUGGUCCGGUUAUUCUUGAGGGGCUUUGUUCAUGCAUUUUUGCUUGAAGAAACAUGUCUGCUACUUUGGGAUGGUGCUCCAAUGGUACACCGACACCAUUUUGAGGCCCUUGACAGAAAAUUGAGAGAUAUACUUUCAAUGAACGGCAGCAACAAAAAUGCUCUUCCUUUUGAUAUUCUACAAUAGAAAAAAACUUCUAUGCUACAUUGAUUUGAUCUCUCAUACAAAAACAACAGCCGGACAAAUCACAGCUAAACCGACGAUGGGCAAUUUCACGAGCACGGCAGGCCGCCAUGGCUUCGCACGGCUAGUACAGUUUAGACCGGCAAUGCGUAUGUAUUGCUAUGAUUCAAGUAAGUUGUGUUAUUGUACAAGCAGUGUUUAUGGAUGAAUAUAUAGUUCUACUGUUAUGUUGAUUAUGGUAUUUGUGGCCUUGCUAUGGAAAAAAAUCAGCACAUAUAGAAACCACUAAUGAAAGCUUAUUUCUUUCAUUUUUUUCAUCUCUUACACUUGUUCUCUAUGGUGUGCAUUCUCUUUAUUCGGAUACAACUUGCACAGACAGAAUUCAUGUUGCCAUUCACUACAAGAAAAACUGCAUACGCUGAGUGGUCGGUUGUAUGUUGAGUGUUACUUCAUGGGGUGCUCAGCAUAAAACCCAAUUUGCCGAGCAAAAACUAGAAACACUCAGCAUAAUAUUACCGACUUUCCUUCCUCUUCUUGCCGGUCAACUAUUUCUUUCGCUCUACUGAUAACAUCACACACGAUGCACCACUCUGUCAUAAUGCACACACACACUCCGUAUCCCACUACUUCGGCAAAUCAUUGCCUUGGGUCGCACUUCUAUAGCUACAUGGUCAUGCGCACAACUUCCACCACUCUAGCCGAUCUCGGUCAUGUUUCCCUCGUCGUCGACACUCCCUUUACUUGUCUCGUGGCUCUAUCUGCUCACCCACGGUUGUAUCAUCGAUCGACCACUUUGCCGAGGCAUAUCACUUUGCAUCACUCCUACUUGCACACAUUGUAUAGUUGCCGAGUUUUUCUUAUCUCCAAGUACCAUGCACUAGGACAUCAAUAUGAUCAUAAUGUUGCAGUAUAGCUAGAAAGACAAAAGAAGAGCCAAAAACAACUUUCCGCUGAUUGAGUUGUGCCACGUUACCGAAAAAGCUCACGCCCCACUUUAUAUAUAAAAAAUGUUGUGGUACAUUCAAAAUAAGAUUUCCGCGACCAUGGCCAAGGUUAAAUCAAUCUCGCUUGAAGUUGAACAAGAAAAUUAACACUCAUUUGGCUAACAACAAGGACCACAAACAACAUUUCAAUUUAAAGAACAAACUGACUUUUGUCCUGUUCCGGGGAGAAGCAAGAAUUGGCUUCUAGCCACUAUACGUAAUAAAAAAAUGGUGCAUGAGAGGGGGUAGAGGGGAUGUUACGAAAGUUGCAAUCCACAUGAAAAUGACAGAGGCAUGACAAAGCAAAAUAAAAGAGAUAUGUUAGCUACUCAUAUAUUAUCGCCAACGAAAAAAUAAAUCCUAUGUAGCAACCGGCACACAGUAUUAGAACAACUCAAUUACAAGCAAAAAAUGGUUCUUACGUGUGCGAGUACCAAUUGCCUUAACAAGUUGUACAACUUGAACCCGAAAGAAAUAUUCUUGAACUUAAUCAUUUUACACGUUUGUACCACUAGCACCUAGUUGGCUAGCUACUAGGUACGUGUGUCCCGACUAGUACGACCUGACCUCUUCUCGGCCAAUGAAGAUGAUGCAGUUAUUUUCGUGCCACCAGAUCAAAUGACGAUCGAAGUUCCUCAACAUCGGCAGAGGUAAUCUCGAUCAGAAGAAAUAACAGGCCGCGGACGAUUAUAUCUGACUACCUCAACGCGCGCAUAUGUGCUUCGUAUUUGACCAGUGUAAUUCGUUGAGAUAUAUUUUUUCUAUGAAACUUUCCAAGCUUAGUUAUACCUCAGAGAAGCAAUCGAUCAUGUGCAGGCAGUAUAAAUACACAACGUACGCAUGGUGGCAGUCUAUCUCAUCGUUACAGAUAUAUCUUCCUUGAUUAGUUUUGUAAGCUCUUCAUCAGCGAUGGAGUACUCGACGAAGCUAGUGGUGCUGCUCGUAGCUCUCAUGUUGGCCAUGGCGGUCACGGCCCAAAACUCGGAGCAGGACUUCGUGGACGCCCACAACGCGGCGCGCGCCGACGUGGGCCUUGGGGAGGUGACAUGGGACGCUACGGUGGCAGCCUUCGCGCAGGACUACGCGGAUCAGCGCCGCGGCGACUGCCAGCUGAUCCAUACUCCUGAUGGCCGGCCGUACGGGGAGAACCUCUACGGAGGCGGCGGGACCGAGUGGACGGCGACGGACGCCGUGAAUUCGUGGGUGUCGGAGAAGCAGUACUACGACCACGACAGCAACACCUGCUCGGCGCCCGAGGGUGAGUCGUGCGGGCACUACACGCAGGUGGUGUGGCGCGACUCGACGGCCAUCGGCUGCGCCCGCGUCGUCUGCGACAGCGGCGACGGUGUGUUCAUCAUCUGCAGCUACAACCCGCCAGGCAACUUCCCCGGGGUGAGCCCGUACUAGGCUAUAUGCAUCAUGCAUGCAUGCGAGCGUGCAUGUACGUACGGCGUAUUGCAUAAAUAAAAUGAUUAAGCUCUGAUAACCACAGUGUGAUCAGAUGUGAUAUAUAAUUAACCAGCCGGCCGGAUUUGAGGCCAUAUAUUGUUUAGACCGGCUGUAUAUAUGUACCGUUAUGAUUCAGGUAAUAAGUUGUGUUAUUGUAUAAGCAGUGUUUAUGGAUGAAUAUAUGGUUCUACUAUUAUACUGUGCAUGGUAUAUGUGCCUCCCUGUGAAAAAAACCCAGCACACUUAGAAACCACUAAUCAAAGUGUCUUUCUUCCGUUUUGUCAUCUCGCACUUGUUCUCUAUGUUGUGCAUUUUUUUUCCGGAUCCCAACUCGUAAAACGGAGUAGAUCUCGAGAGGGCACACUAGGUCUUGUUCCUGAGACUCGCGCUCCCUCCUCCACGCCAUAGGCCACUCCCGCCGUGACAGUCACCCAAUCUGCCAUUAUGGCUCACCCAUCCACUCCCAGGUUUCACUCUGGAUCCAGCUCCGGUCGUGGUCCCGUGCAAGCUCGCUCUCGACUAGCGGUCCAUCGUAGGUUCCGGACUCGCUUGCGGCCCAGCCCGUGAAUGCAGUAGAUCUGACCUCGACGCCAUGAAUCCUGCCGCGGGGAGAGUCAUCCAACGCCAUGCAUGCCUAUGGUACUCCAGAUCUGGUGUUGUGAUUGAGCGGCAGUACCUAAAUCCAUCGUGGUCAUCCCCUACGCUCUUGUCAACAUUCCUCUUCGGGCGAGGAGGAAGGAUGGACGAAGAAAUAAUCUCGAAGGAACACACACAAGCAAGGAGCCAUCAAUUAUUAGUGCACACGUACAGCUACACAGCUCGGACCGACACCGGGACAUCAAUGGUGCGCCGGGCCUUGAGGCCUUCUUAAGCUGCUUCAAAGGCCGGAUACUCUGGGUUGCAUCAUUUGCGAGCUGCCAGGGUAUUUCGGCAGAGAGUACCCUCAAAAUCCAUGAAACGGCGGUGUCCGGCGCCGACCUGGGCGCCAAUUCAAGAUCAGGUUCAAACAACCGGGCAAUUACCCCUUCAUCCACCAAAAGAGAUGAAAUGCUUUCACUAUUUGUUCUAGAAGAUAACUUACCGGCGUUUUUGUUAAUUACAAAUGAUUGUGAAGGUGUAUGGUAGGAAGCCAAUAACACUUAGUGUGGAAUAUUUUUAUAAAUGCAAAGUAGAUAAUUAUUGUAUUGGAGAUGCCGGCUUCUUUCAAGUAUUAUAUAAACUAGAUGACCCGUUGCGCCGAUGGCGCAAAAGGCCGAGUGCAAGCCAAGUAUUGAAAGAGUGUGCAUUCAAAUAUGUAGACACAUAAUGAAACAUACAGAAAUAAGUAUGAAUUGAUGAUAGAUAGAUGGUCGUUGCUGAACAUGUUUUCUAAGAAGCUUAUGAACGAUCAUUUACAAUGUUAUGAGUAAGGCAUGUAGAUAGGCAGAGAUACGUUUCACAGAUGUAUCGUUGGACAUUCAGAACGAUUCUCUGAGUCAACUCUUCAUAGUUGCUAUUCUUCAUGGCCUGCAUUGCUCAAAGGAGAAAUUCAUUUGAUGUCAUCGUCGAGUUUCCAAUAAUUGUGGUGUGUUUGCUAGAGAUCAUAUUCAGACUAUGUUGUUGUAUUGCUAAGACGGUCAGCAACAUAUUUUACCUGUGAUAAAACAUGAUUGAGAUUGUUCUCUUUCAAUGUUGAACCAGCUGUGAAGUUUGUAUCUAUUAUGCGAUAAAGUUUCUUUGCUGCCAUGCGAUCUCCAAUGAGGCUAUUGCACCAGCUGUUGCUAAAAUAGUUGAUUAUUCCGUCUUUUCUUUUUGUUGAUACUCUAGGGCCUGGCAUUUUUGUUGAGCUGGUUGUGCCUUGUCAUAGUUUUUGUCUUGCAAAACUUUGCUGUAAGAGCCCUGUAUGCAUUUGAGAGCCUCAGUUGCUAGUCAGUUCUCAGCUUCUUCGAGUUUGUCGUACACAUGGAUGGACAUUGAUUUUUGUGGAAGUCCAUUGUCCAGUUGUUGCUUACAUCCAUAGAAGUGAAUUGUUGCGUCAAGACCGACCGUCCGCCCCUUUUGUGUUGAGUAAACUGCAUUUGGGAGGCCAAGCUUGUGCAUCAUAGCGUCUAGUACUUUUGCUGGAAUCUUCACUCUUUCCAUUGCAGUUGUUAAAUGAUACAAGGAAGAAUGUACUGUUAGAAACUGUAGUCUAUGAUUUUGUAUCUGCUUGUAUGUUCACGAAUCCAUAGAAAGAUAUACCAUUAUCACAGUAACCAAAUUAUAUGUGUUGUGUACCUAUCUGCAAAGAGAGCAGUAGGGCAUUCAAAUCAUGUAUAUGUGACUGAUACUUAAUAGAUACUUGGUAUCAUGAUAGGCUAAAAGGAAGCAAUGAGAUCACCUGAUAAUACCAUACUAUGCAUAACAAAAUAUUUAGAUACAGUUGAUGCAUAACAUUGUAAGAGAGGCAUAAGAUCAAUUUACGAUAGCUUAUUUACAUUGCUUGUAUCAAGAAAGGCACUUAGGUUGAGAUUCAUCAUAUAGACACAUUUGAAUUUGCUAUAUACAUGGAAGGAGGGAGUAUAUAUGAUUGGUAGUGUUAUGAUGAAUAUGUAGCAGUACGAAUACAACUGAGGGAAUACAUCAAUAUUAGGAAGUGCUUGAUUACAUUUAGAAUACACGACCACAAAAGGAUGCGUAGCACAUAGAUGAUUACCAUAGUCUAAGGCCUACGUAUGUCUCGUUCUUUAGAGCAAGAACAAAAGGGUUGAGAUAUCACUGAAACUAAAUCUCGACUACACUGCAGAUGAAACAACAUGUGUUUGCUUCAGUGGUCACAUAGGCAUGGCAGUUAGGUUAGACGCAGCAAAAGUAAUUAGAAACGGCCUUUCAUUCUUUCUAGGCAUUGUUCUACUUACUAUAAACAAAAAGGUUGAAAAUAUAGGUUGAUUACAUAGGUAAGCAGUGAGCUGGCGCUGAUGGAUAUCCUCCUUAGCCACAACUGCAAUGGCCACAAAGUGGGGGCUUCAUGAGGGCAAAUGUUCUCGUUAAAACCCGGUACCAAAACUCUAAUGCAGACUGCUUUGCACUAUUUCAGGUGGUGGAUCUGUAAGAGAAUGAACAAUAUGACAGGAAACACUAUCAAUUGCAACAUCAACAUACGUCUUAAUUUGCUCAUGAUCUAAUAGAGUAAGCAAAUAAAAUCUCAGGUAACCACCUGGUACACAAAACAAAGGACAUUUAAAUCCUGAAACCUGGAGAUAUUAGAUAUACAUGGUGUCUUCCACAUAGACCAGGAAGAAAAAUAAUAGUACAUCAGUAGAAGCUAUAUUCUAAUGUAAUACAUGUAAUAUAUCCAGGAAAUAUAAACAGAAAAAGAAACUGAGCAAUAUACACCAUGCAUGUUCAGAUAAUCAUGCUUAAAGGAAGUGCAAUGCAUACUAUGGAAUCACACAGCCUAAAUCCAUCCUCGUCUAGAAGACUGCAUUAUAACCAUACAUCAAGAAAUUAACGGAAAAGGGGAUUUGCCCGGAUGACGAAAAAUCGUGUGAUAGGCAGCACAGAGUUUUUAUAUUUCCAAGCCAAAAUAUAUUACAAAAAGAUAUUAGAGACAAUGGCUAUGAAGAACUAAGAAUCUAUAUGGAGUGGGGGUGAGAGACGGACCCUUCAACAUUUCACUGUCCACAGUUAUUCCUGAAUGACAUGCAUUCAUUCUUCAUCCUAGAAGCAUCGAUGCUGCACCACGUUGUCAAACGUCAAUGAUUAAUCAAACACAUGUCUAUAAAAAAGUCUGUUUAGAUAUGUUGAUCCUGCAAAAUAAAUAAAUGGGUGGUCAUUAUUAGGAAUGCAUCCUGGGGUUUGCUAAUGAAUGGAAAGCUAUAGUGCAUAGGAGUCUAAAUGCUACAAAGGAUUCUUUCUUUGGGAACAACAUAUGACCACAAAUGUAUGCUUUUUUCCUUCAGCCUGCUUAUGUUCUGGUGUUCACGACAAGUGACCUGCAUUUUCACCCCUAGUGUGGUACCAUUUUGUAUCAGGUAUAUUAAAAAUAAACUGUGUGGUUAGGCUCAUGAUUGCCAAGAACAAUUACGACCUUGGUAGUGUGGCUAUCAACCUGCGAUGGACUAAACAAUACUCUUAUUGUUUCUGUAUAUCCAGGAACUUCAUGAAUUGCAUUUGCGACAGUCAGGUAUUAAUAACCACAUAAGAAUGACACACAAAUAUAAUAUCUUGGUUGCAUCAUACAUUUGAAAGAUUAGGUACCUAGCAGGUUCUAGUGGGGAGUGAUGAUUUUGAUCCUUUAUCAGGUGAUUCAAGAGAUUCCUAAAGAAUCAAUACACACAAAUUCAAACCAACAAAGCAGUGCAAAAGAACAAGCAGAAGGUACCUCUUAUGGCAUGUCUUGUCAUGCCAUCGAUUGGUGAAGGUGGCACUGGAGUUCAAACAAUUCCAUCUCUCUGCAUAAUUGCAAUACAUCCUUUCGGCUGAACCAAUCAUGUUUCUGAAGCCCGGGAUGUUGCCACCAAGAGCAUCCUUUUGCAGUUCACGUCAUCAACGAAAUAUCAUAUCCCUUUCUCUUUCAAGUGUAUCAUCAGGUAACCUAUCUUUUCAUUGAUCUUAUUUCCCCAAAUUAAGACUGUCUGAGUGCCUUGCUAUCGCCUACUAAAGGAACUGUUCUGUGGAUUUUAACGAACUGCCUGCAGUACAUAAAAGUUAUAUCAACUUACAUACAAAAAAGGUUAAAUAUCUAUUUCAUGACUACAUUAAUAUUUCCCUCAAGCAAAAACCUAAAUAACCAGUUCUAAGUUUAGCUCAAACUUCGACUGAGUUACUGAGUCACUCAUUGAUCUGUUAAUAGCUUUUAAAUCGCUUAACCAAUCUCAUCAAAUAAACUAUUCUCAAAUACCUAUAGAGAAUUCCCUAUAACUUUAUUUCAGAUGAUUGCGACUAAAACUGUCUCUAACUUUGUUGAAGACAGGUAAACAGAUCUUCUCACAGCCUCGUUAUUACUAAACAGUAGCAUCGCUUCUGGCUUAACUCCUAAACUACCAAUCAAAUUUCAGUGAAACCAGCACCAUUGGAAACAUAAAAACAAGAGCUACAACUGUUGUUCUAGGAGUACAUCGAAAUUCCGCACAGAUUAUGCCCAGAACUUGAAAGAAACUUAGUGCUAAUAUAUACUACCUAGCAGCUACGAAUCUCAAUAUAAUUCGACCUUAUCUCAGCACCUGCAUGUGUUUGCUACAAGAGAAAAGAAACAAAAUACGGACAACAUCUGCAGUCUGCUGUGAGCAGAUGCCAACUCCAACGGGGCUGAACCCGGGUGUCGUCCUCCUCGGUGGUCUGUGAUGCAAGCUUCCUAGGUAAGCAUCUAAGUGUUACAAAUAUACUUGUGUAUUUCUACAGGGACGUAGACCUAUAGUUUUUUUUAGAUGUGUACAUAAUUAAGGGAGGUUUAUGGUUGAUUCAGUUCAAGCAAGUCGCCUUUUCCAUACUUGUUUAGAAGUGUACAUACUUGUUUAAACGUUACUGCAAUCCUCAGGGGAAAUCAGCUAUGCAGACCAAAAAUAUGACAAAUUUAGAAGUGUGUAGUUAUUACCAAAGCAAUCACCAGGAAGAUCAAUUUGGAUAACAUGUUGUUAGUGUUACUUUUCUAUAUAAAAGAACUUAGCAAAUAAGAAAUAACCUAGAAGAUACAAAAGGAGGCACGGAUAUAUAUUUAAAAACUAUAGGGAAUGAAAUUGGUCAGCUAUCAACAAAAAGACAGGGAGUGCCCUCAUAAAUUUGAGAACGAGCAUCACAAUAAUCUGAUCACUACAAAAUAUGGUUGUAACUUGUUUUUUCUGCAAUUAAACAACCAAAAGCAGUGCACAAUAUAUAUGGAAAAAACACUGCAUCAUCUCCCAGAAGCAGAAAAAGUUAUAUUAGCCCAUCAUCUGCACUCUAGGUAUAUCAAAAUUAAACUAAGCGAACCUGACACAGCCAAGAACCGAAUUUUAUCAUGAUAAACGACAAUAACAUGAGUAACAACCAGAAUAAUUAGUACAACGCCAGUACAAAUGGAAGACCACAGCUUGGGAAUAGUAGAUGUGAAGUUAUCAAGAAAUUACCUGAAUGCUCCUAUGUGUAGUGAGGGAAAUAGACUAAAUUGAAGCCUCAUGACCUUAAAAUAUGCAAGCUUAGCAUGUUCUUUUUCAUUCCAAAAACAGUGACAUCAAUUGAUUAACCUCAACUUAAAGAUGGCCCCAAACAGGAAGAAAUAAAAAGAAAGCUAUCACACAAGAAGUUUGGCAACCGAACUGGUAAAUAAUACAUAUGAAUCCUUAUGAGAUAACAACUAUAUAAACUCUGCCUGAGGAAACUAUAUAGUUGAAGAGAUUCAGUACAGGGUAUCAAUUGCAUAAGCAUAAGAUAUAUUUACCAAUUGGCGAGCCGCCUAACCCUCCAUGUUCUGAACUGAAGUGCGAUGCAAACAACAUCUACACAAAACCUGAAACACAUUGUCAACAAAUUUCAGUAUCUUACAAAGCCUCCCCAGGAUGAGAUAGAGUUGACAGAGAAGAGUUUCAUACCAAUUGAUAAUUAGCGAGGGGGGCUUGCAUACCUGAAAAGAGCAUAGCAGAGCAAAAGUCCAUACUACUGGAAAAAAAUCUCCAUUUUCUGGUCGAUAUGAACCUGGCUACAAAUCUCCACCGACGGCGGCUACGCAAGGGAUGAAUUUCAGUGCUUUGGAUAAUUAGUGAAAUUGCAUUUUUAGAAGGAAGCUACAAUUUUCAUGUGCUACAUGACUACAUACAGAGGGAUACCUACUUGAUUGCAGCUUUAAGGCUUGCCGACAUCAAUCCCAGGGAGAACUCUCUUUGCGCAACACACCUCAAGCUCAUGUUUUUAUUAUCUCUGCUCAUCCAAAGAAAAUGAGAGCUAUCUGAAACGAAAAUUGAAAUGAAACUGCUCCUGUUCUAGGGUACCACCGAUCUGUUGGAAAUAUGCCCUAGAGGCAAUAAUAAAAGUAUUAUUAUAUUUCAUUGUUCAUGAUAAUUGUCUUGUAUUCAUGCUAUAACUGUAUUAUCCGGAAAUCGUAAUACACGUGUGAAUACUUAGACCACACUAAGUCCCUGGUAAGCCUCUAGUUGACCAGCUCGUUGUGAUCAACAGAUAGUCAUGGUUUCCUGACUAUGGACAUUGGAUGUCGUUGAUAACGGGAUCACAUCAUUAGGAGAAUGAUGUGAUGGACAAGACCCAAUCCUAAGCAUAGCAUAAAAGAUCGAGUAGUUCGUUUUGCUAGAGCUUUGCAAGUGUCAAGUAUCUCUUCCUUCGACCAUGAGAUCGUGUAACUCCCGGAUACCGUAAGAAUGCCUUGGGUGUACCAAACGUCACAACGUAACUGGGUGACUAUAAAGGUACAUUACAGGUAUCUCCGAAAGUAGCUGUUGGGUUGACACGGAUCGAGACUGGGAUUUGUCACUCCGUAUGACGGAGAGGUAUCUCUGGGCCCACUCGGUAAUGCAUCAUCAUAUUGAGCUCAAUGUGACCAAGGUGUUGGACACGGGAUCAUGCAUUACGGUACGAGUAAAGUGACUUGCCGGUAACGAGACUGAACAAGGUAUUGGGAUACCGACGAUCGAGUCUCGGGCAAGUAACGUACCGAUUGACAAAGGGAAUUGCAUACAAGGUUUGAUCGAAUCCUCGACAUAGUGGUUCAUCCGAUGACAACAUCGAGGAGCAUGUGGGAGCCAUCAUGGGUAUCCAGAUCCCGCUGAUGGUUAUUGACUAAGAGAGUCUCGGUCAUGUCUGCAUGUCUCCCGAACCCGUAGGGUCUACACACUUAAGGUUCAGUUACGCUAGGGUUAUAGGGAUAUGUAUAUGCAGUAACCCGAAUGUUGUUCGGAGUCCCGGAUGAGAUCCCGGACGUCACGAGGAGUUCCGGAAUGGUCCGGAGGUAAAGAUUUAUAUAUGGGAAGUCCUGUUUCGGGCAUCGGGACAAGUUUCGGGGUUAUCGGUAUUGUACCGGGACCACCGGAAGGGUCCCGGGGGUCCACCGGGUGGGUCCACCUGUCCCGGGGGGCCACAUGGGCUGUAAGGGGGUGCGCCUUGGCCUAAUGGGCCAAGGGCACCAGCCCCACAUAGGCCCAUGCGCCUAGGGUUCAAGGGGGGCAAGAGUCCUAGGAGGGUAAGGCACCUCCUAGGUGCCUUGGGGGGAGGGAAAACCCCCCUUGGCCGCCGCACCCCCUAGGAGAUUUGAUCUCCUAGGGCCGGCCACCCCCCCUUGGCACCCCUAUAUAUAGUGGGGGGAGAAGAGGGACUUCAUACCUGAACGCCCUGGCCUUUGGUUGCCUCCUUCUCCCUCCCCAACACCUCCUCCACCUCCAUAGUGCUUAGCGAAGCUCUGCCGGAGUACUGCAGCUCCACCAACACCACGCCGUCGUGCUGCUGCUGGUGCCAUCUCCCUCAACCUCUCCUCCCUUCCUUGCUGGAUCAAGAAGGAGGAGACGUGGCUGUUCCGUACGUGUGUUGAACGCGGAGGUGCCGUCCGUUCGGCGCAGGUCAUCGGUGAUUUGGAUCACGUCGAGUACGACUACAUCAUCACCUUGCAAGCUUCCGCACGCGAUCUACAAGUGGUAUGUAGAUGCAAACUCUCUCCCUAGACUCGUUGCUUAGAUGAACUCAUAGAUGGAUCUUGGUGAAACCGUAGGAAAAUUUUUAAUUUUCUGCAACGUUCCCCAACAGUGGCAUCAUGAGCUAGGUCUAUACGUAGUUCUCUUUGCACGAGUAGAACACAACUUUGUUGUGGGCGUGGAUUUUGUCAUCUUACUUGCCUCUACUAGUCCUUUCUUGCUCAACGGUAUUGUGGGAUGAAGCGGCCCGGACCAACCUUACACGUACACUUACGUGAGACCGGUUCCACCGACUGACAUGCACAAGUUGCAUAAGGUGGUUGGCGGGUGUCUGUCUCUCCCACCUUAGUUGGAGCGGAAUCGAUGAACAGGGCCCUUAUGAAGGGUAAAUAGAAGUUGACAAAAUCACGUUGUGGUGAUUCGUAGGUAAGAAAACGUUCUUGCUAGAACCCAAUUGCAGCCACGUAAAAGAUGCAACAACAAUUAGAGGACGUCUAACUUGUUUUUGCAGCGAUUGAUCAUGUGAUGUGAUAUGGCCAGAAGUUGUGAUGAAUGAUGAAUUGUGAUGUAUGAGAUCAUGUUCUUUGUAAUAGGAUUCACGACUUGCAUGUCGAUGAGUAUGACAACCGGCAGGAGCCAUAGGAGUUGUCAUUAUUUUUUGUAUGACCUGCGUGUCAUUGAAUAACGUCAUGUAAACUACUUUACUUUAUUGCUAAACGUUAGUCAUAAAAGUAGAAGUAGUCGAUGGCGUGACAACUUCAUGAAGACACGAUGAUGGAGAUCAUGAUGAUGGAGAUCAUGGUGUCAAGCCGGUGACAAGAUGAUCAUGGAGCCCCGAAGAUGAAGAUCAAUGGAGCUAUAUGAUAUUGGCCAUAUCAUGUCACAACUAUAUAAUUGCAUGUGAUGUUUAUUAUGUAUUAUGCAUCUUGUUUACUUAGGACGACGGUAGUAAAUAAGAUGAUCCCUUAUAAAAUUUCAAGAAGUGUUCUCCCCUAACUGUGCACCGUUGCUACAGUUCGUCGUUUCUAAGCACCACGUGAUGAUCGGGUGUGAUGGAUUCUUACGUUCACAUACAACGGGUGUAAGACAGUUUUACACAGCGAAAACACUUAGGGUUAACUUGACGAGCCUAGCAUGUGCAGACAUGGCCUCGGAACACGGAGACCGAAAGGUCGAACACGAGUCGUAUAGAAGAUACGAUCAACAUGAAAAUGUUCACCGACGAUGACUAGUCCGUCUCACGUGAUGAUCGGACACGGGCUAGUCGACUCGGAUCGUGUAACACUUAGAUGACUAAAGGGAUGUCUAAUCUGAGUGGGAGUUCAUAAUUUGAUUAGAACUUAAUUAUCAUGAACUUAGUCUAAAACCUUUGCAAAUAUGUCUUGUAGAUCAAAUGGCCAACGCUCAUGUCAACAUGAACUUCAACGCGUUCCUAGAGAAAACCAAGCUGAAAGAUGAUGGCAGCAACUAUACGGACUGGGUCCGGAACCUGAGGAUCAUCCUCAUAGCUGCCAGGAAACAAUAUGUCCUAGAAGGACCGCUAGGUGACGCUCCCGUCCCAGAGAACCAAGACAUUAUGAAUGCUUGGCAGUCUCGCGCUGAUGAUUACUCCCUCGUUCAGUGCGGCAUGCUUUACAGCUUAGAACCGGGGCUCCAAAAGCGUUUUGAGCAUCACGGAGCAUAUGAGAUGUUCGAAGAGCUGAAACUAGUUUUUCAAGCUCAUGCCCGGGUCGAGAGAUAUGAUGUCUCCGACAAGUUCUACAGUUGUAAGAUGGAGGAAAACAGUUCUGUCAGUGAGCACAUCCUGAAGAUGUCUGGAUUGCACAACCGUAUGACCCAGCUGAACAUUAACCUCCUAGAUGAGGCGGUCAUUGACAGAAUCCUCCAGUCGCUCCCACCAAGCUACAAGAGCUUUCUGAUGAACUACAACAUGCAGGGGAUGGAAAAGACCAUUCCUGAAGUGUUCUCGAUGCUGAAGUCAGCAGAGGCUGAAAUCAAGAAAGAACAUCAAGUGUUGAUGGUCAAUAAGACCACUAAGUUCAAGAAGGGCAAGGGUAAGAAGAACUUCAAGAAGGACGGCAAAGAUGUUGCCGCGCCUGGUAAGCCAGUUACCGGGAAGAAGUCAAAGAAUGGACCCAAGCCUGAGACUGAGUGCUUUUAUUGCAAGGGGAAGGGUCACUGGAAGCGGAACUGCCCCAAAUACUUAGCGGAUAAGAAGGCCGGCAACACCAAAGGUAUAUUUGAUAUACAUGUGAUUGAUGUGUACCUUACCAGUACUCGUAGUAACUCCUGGGUAUUUGAUACCGGUGCCGUUGCUCAUAUUUGUAACUCACAGCAGGAGCUGCGGAAUAAACGGAGACUGGCGAAGGACGAGGUGACGAUGCGCGUCGGGAAUGGUUCCAGAGUCGAUGUGAUCGCCGUCGGCACGCUGCCUCUACAUUUACCUACGGGAUUAGUUUUGAACCUUAAUAAUUGUUAUUUAGUGCCAAGUUUGAGCAUGAACAUUGUAUCUGGAUCUCGUUUAAUACGAGAUGGCUACUCAUUUAAGUCUGAGAAUAAUGAUUGUUUGAUUUAUAUGAGAGAUAUGUUUUAUGGUCAUGCUCCGAUGGUCAAUGGUUUAUUCUUAAUGAAUCUCGAGCGUAAUAUUACACAUGUUCAUAGUGUAGAUGCCAAAAGAUUUAAAGUUGAUAACGAUAGUCCCACAUUCUUGUGGCACUGCCGCCUUGGUCACAUUGGUGUCAAGCGCAUGAAGAAGCUCCAUGCCGAUGGACUUUUAGAGUCUCUUGAUUAUGAAUCGUUUGACACGUGCGAACCAUGCCUUUUGGGCAAAAUGACCAAGACUCCGUUCUCCGGAACAAUGGAGCGAGCAACCAACUUGUUGGAAAUCAUACAUACCGAUGUGUGCGGUCCAAUGAGCGUUGAGGCUCGCGGAGGAUAUCGUUAUGUUCUCACUCUCACAGAUGACUUGAGUAGAUAUGGGUAUGUCUACUUAAUGAAACACAAGUCUGAGACCUUUGAAAAGUUCAAGGAAUUUCAGAAUGAGGUAGAGAAUCAACGUGACCGAAAGAUAAAAUUCUUACGAUCAGAUCGUGGAGGAGAAUACUUAAGUCACGAAUUUGGUACACACUUAAAGAAAUGUGGAAUCGUUUCACAGCUCACGCCGCCUGGAACACCUCAGCGAAACGGUGUGUCCGAACGUCGUAAUCGCACUCUAUUGGAUAUGGUGCGGUCUAUGAUGUCUCUUACCGAUUUACCGCUAUCAUUUUGGGGAUACGCUCUAGAGACAGCAACAUUCACUUUAAAUAGGGCACCGUCUAAAUCCGUUGAGACGACACCGUAUGAAUUAUGGUUUGGAAAGAAACCUAAGCUGUCGUUUCUAAAAGUUUGGGGAUGCGAAGCUUAUGUCAAGAAACUUCAACCUGAAAAGCUCGAACCCAAGUCGGAAAAAUGCGUAUUCAUAGGAUACCCUAAGGAAACUAUAGGGUAUACCUUCUACUUAAGAUCCGAAGGCAAGAUCUUUGUUGCCAAGAACGGAUGCUUUCUGGAAAAAGAGUUUCUCUCGAAAGAAGUAAGUGGGAGGAAAGUAGAACUCGAUGAAGUACUACCUCUUGAGCGGGAUAGUGACGCAGCACAGGAAACCAUUCCUGUGAUGCCCACACCAACUGAAGAGGAAAACCAUGAUAAUGAUCAAGGUACUUCGGAUCAAGUUACUGCUGAACUUCAUAGGUUCACAAGAACACGUUCCGCACCAGAGUGGUACGGCAACCCUGUCCUGGAAAUCAUGUUGUUAGACAAUAAUGAACCUUCGAACUAUGAAGAAGCAAUGACGGGCCCGGAUUCCAACAAAUGGCUUGAAGCCAUGAAAUCCGAGAUAGAAUCCAUGUAUGAAAACAAAGUAUGGACUUUGACAGACUUGCCCGAUGAUCGGCGAGCGAUAGAAAACAAAUGGAUCUUUAAGAAGAAGACGGACGCGGAUGGUAAUGUUACCAUCUAUAAAGCUCGACUUGUCGCUAAGGGUUAUCGACAGGUUCAAGGGAUUGACUACGACGAGACAUUCUCUCCCGUAGCGAAGCUAAAGUCCGUCCGAAUCAUGUUAGCAAUUGCCGCAUACUAUGAUUAUGAGAUAUGGCAGAUGGACGUCAAAACAGCAUUCCUUAACGGGCAUCUUAAGGAAGAACUGUAUAUGAUGCAGCCGGAAGGUUUUGUCGAUCCUCAGAACGCUAGCAAAGUAUGCAAGCUCCAGCGAUCCAUUUAUGGACUGGUGCAAGCAUCUCGGAGUUGGAACAUUCGCUUUGAUGAGAUGAUCAAAGCGUUUGGGUUUAUGCAGACUUAUGGAGAAGCCUGCGUUUACAAGAAAGUGAGUGGGAGCUCUGUAGCAUUUCUCAUAUUAUAUGUAGAUGACAUACUCCUGAUGGGAAAUAAUAUAGAAUUUCUGGACAGCAUUAAGGCCUACUUGAAUAAGUGUUUUUCAAUGAAGGACCUUGGAGAAGCUGCUUAUAUAUUAGGCAUCAAGAUCUAUAGAGAUAGAUCGAGACGCCUCGUAGGUCUUUCACAAAGUACAUACCUUGAUAAGAUUUUGAAGAGAUUCAGAAUGGAUCAGUCCAAGAAGGGGUUCUUGCCUAUGUUACAAGGUAUGAGACUGAGCUCAGCUCAGUCACCGACCACGGCAAAAGAUAAAGAAGAGAUGAGUGUCAUCCCCUAUGCUUCAGCCAUAGGAUCUAUUAUGUAUGCCAUGCUGUGUACCAGACCCGAUGUAAACCUUGCCGUAAGUUUGGUAGCAAGAUACCAAAGUAAUCCCGGCAAGGAACACUGGACAGCGGUCAAGAAUAUCCUGAAGUACCUGAAAAGGACAAAGGACAUGUUUCUCGUUUAUGGAGGAGACGAAGAGCUCGUCGUAAAGGGUUACGUCGACGCUAGCUUCGACUCAGAUCCGGAUGACUCUAAGUCACAAACCGGAUACGUGUAUAUGUUGAAUGGUGGAGCAAUAAGCUGGUGCAGCUGCAAGCAGAGCGUCGUGGCGGGAUCUACGUGUGAAGCGGAGUACAUGGCAGCCUCGGAGGCAGCACAUGAAGCGAUUUGGGUGAAGGAGUUCAUCACCGACCUAGGAGUCAUACCCAAUGCGUCGGGGCCGAUCAAACUCUUCUGUGACAACACUGGAGCUAUUGCCCUCGCAAAGGAGCCCAGGUUUCACAAGAAGACCAGGCACAUCAAGUGUCGUUUCAACUCCAUCCGUGAAAAUGUUCAAGAUGGAGACAUAGAGAUUUGCAAAGUGCACACGGAUCUGAAUGUCGCAGAUCCACUGACUAAACCUCUCUCGCGUGCAAAACAUGAUCAACACCAGAACUCUAUGGGUGUUCGAUUCAUCACAAUGUAACUAGAUUAGUGACUCUAGUGCAAGUGGGAGACUGUUGGAAAUAUGCCCUAGAGGCAAUAAUAAAAGUAUUAUUAUAUUUCAUUGUUCAUGAUAAUUGUCUUGUAUUCAUGCUAUAACUGUAUUAUCCGGAAAUCGUAAUACACGUGUGAAUACUUAGACCACACUAAGUCCCUGGUAAGCCUCUAGUUGACCAGCUCGUUGUGAUCAACAGAUAGUCAUGGUUUCCUGACUAUGGACAUUGGAUGUCGUUGAUAACGGGAUCACAUCAUUAGGAGAAUGAUGUGAUGGACAAGACCCAAUCCUAAGCAUAGCAUAAAAGAUCGAGUAGUUCAUUUUGCUAGAGCUUUGCAAGUGUCAAGUAUCUCUUCCUUCGACCAUGAGAUCGUGUAACUCCCGGAUACCGUAAGAAUGCCUUGGGUGUACCAAACGUCACAACGUAACUGGGUGAUUAUAAAGGUACAUUACAGGUAUCUCCGAAAGUAGCUGUUGGGUUGACACGGAUCGAGACUGGGAUUUGUCACUCCGUAUGACGGAGAGGUAUCUCUGGGCCCACUCGGUAAUGCAUCAUCAUAUUGAGCUCAAUGUGACCAAGGUGUUGGACACGGGAUCAUGCAUUACGGUACGAGUAAAGUGACUUGCCGGUAACGAGACUGAACAAGGUAUUGGGAUUCCGACGAUCGAGUCUCGGGCAAGUAACGUACCGAUUGACAAAGGGAAUUGCAUACAGGGUUUGAUCGAAUCCUCGACAUAGUGGUUCAUCCGAUGAAAACAUCGAGGAGCAUGUGGGAGCCAUCAUGGGUAUCCAGAUCCCGCUGAUGGUUAUUGACUAAGAGAGUCUCGGUCAUGUCUGCAUGUCUCCCGAACCCGUAGGGUCUACACACUUAAGGUUCAGUCACGCUAGGGUUGUAGGGAUAUGUAUAUGCAGUAACCCGAAUGUUGUUCGGAGUCCCGGAUGAGAUCCCGGACGUCACGAGGAGUUCCGGAAUGGUCCGGAGGUAAAGAUUUAUAUAUAGGAAGUGCUAUUUCGGGCACCGGGACAAGUUUUGGGGUUAUCGGUAUUGUACCGGGACCACCGGAGGGGUCCCGGGGGUCCACCGGGUGGGGCCACCUGUCCCGGGGGGCCACAUGGGCUGUAGGGGGUGCGCCUUGGCCAUCAUGGGCCAAGGGCACCAGCCCCUAUAGGCCCAUGCGCCUAGGGUUUCCCCCUAGGAGGAGUCCUAGUGGUGGAAGGCACCCCUAGGUGCCUUGGGGGGGAGGGAAACCUCCCUAGGCCGCCGCCCCCCCUAGUAGAUCUCAUCUACUAGGGCCGGCCACCCCCCCUUGGCACCCCUAUAUAUAGUGGGGGGAGAGGAGGGACUUCAUACCUUGAGCCCUGGCCUUUGGUUGCCUUCUUCUCCCUCCCCAACACCUCCUCCAACUCCUUAUAGCUUAGCGAAGCUCUGCCGGAGUACUGCAGCUCCACCAACACCACGCCGUCGUGCUGCUGCUGGUGCCAUCUCCCUCAACCUCUCCUCCCUCCCUUGCUGGAUCAAGAAGGAGGAGACGUGGCUGUUCCGUACGUGUGUUGAACGCGGAGGUGCCGUCCGUUCGGUGCUAAGGUCAUCGGUGAUUUGAAUCACGUCGAGUACGACUACAUCAUCACCUUGCAAGCUUCCGCACGCGAUCUACAAGUGGUAUGUAGAUGCAAACUCUCUCCCUAGACUCGUUGCUUAGAUGAACUCAUUGAUGGAUCUUGGUGAAACCGUAGGAAAAAUUUUAAUUUUCUGCAACGUUCCCCAACACGAUCAGUAUGCAAAGAAAAGAUGCCCCAAAAAAGGAAACUACUCCUGUUCUAUGGUUCCAGGACAAUCCGUACGCAGAGAAAAGAUCAACCAUAGAUUUCUGGAGAGGACUAACCGACCUUGAAGGCGAUGAUGUUGUUGGGGCCGCUCUCGUGUGGGAGAGUAAGGAGGAGGAGCUGCGCCUGCCCCCUCCCGUGAAGAAGAGGUUGGAGCCCCCUGCGGCUGCUUCUCCCCUACUUCAGAUCGAGGUCGCGCUCGACAGAUCGAGCUCCACCUGCCGUGGCGACGAGGAGAAGAUGGUUCGAAGGUCCCCGAUGGCCGGUGCCUCUAUCCUCGCCGCUCAUCCCUCCAUUGCUGGCCUCCCCUACUGGCCGNNNNNNNNNNNNNNNNNNNNNNNNNNNNNNNNNNNNNNNNNNNNNNNNNNNNNNNNNNNNNNNNNNNNNNNNNNNNNNUGGGAGGGGACGUCGGUGGGAGGAGGGGCGGCGAUGGGAGGAGAAGGAGGAGGGCGACGAGGAGGGGGAGGCGAGUGGGACGGGAGGCGGCGGCCAGGGUUUCUCCACGGGAGUGGUUGCGAUUUAUACCCCUGGACGUAAAAAGACCAAAAUGCCCUCGGUGGGGCACAGAAUUUACAGGCGGUGGCACGGCGAUUUAAAGGCGACGUGUAUGGCUUCAUCCUGCCUAGCGGUUCUCCAGGGUUUAUAGGUUAAAUUGCAAUCUUAUAAAUAGUGUUCCUUAGUUCAGUUGUUGCUCAAUAGAACAUCUCAAAAUAUCUUCGAAAGAGUUCAAUCAAUUCUUGCGAGUUAACCCGCCGACAAUGAUUUAUGUUUAUUUGUUACUCUGGGUGCAUAUAUGCAGAAAAUAAAUCGUAUUGGUUGCAGGUUAUGAUGCUAAUAUUGGACAAGGAAGCACUGGUGCAGCUAUUGUAAUCUGGAGGGGUCUAUCAUAUUGCCCGUGUCUUCUCUCUCAUGUUGUGACUCGAGGCUGAAGAAACCGAAAUUAUUGCCUGACUGAAGGACUAAAAGUACCGACUACAGUUGUAAUCCAUCCCAUCAUUCAGAUUGUUUGGCUGUUGUUUCUACUUUGAAGAAUGCAGUGCACAAUAAAUCUCGACUUCACAAUAGUGAUGUAGAAACAAGGGAAUAAAUUUGUGAAGAUUGCCAGCAUGAUUCUUAUCGACUUGGUAAAUUUUAAAACCAUAUAACAAAAAAAAAAUCUCAAACAUGUUGUGUCUGGUUUUUGUCGCUAGCUUUUAAACAGUAGAAUAGAUACUCUUGGUAUAGAUUGGCAAGUGUCUGAACUGAACCAGAAAAGAAAAUAUAUUUUGUAUAUACUGAUCAGUGGGUAAGUCAUGCAGGUUGCUCUGGCAAUUAAAAAUCUAGCUAAUGGUCCGGUUAUUCUUGAGGGGCUUUGUUCAUGCAUUUUUGCUUGAAGAAACAUGUCUGCUACUUUGGGAUGGUGCUUUUGCUUGAAGAAACAUGUCUGCUACUUUGGGAUGGUGCUCCAAUGGUACACCGACACCAUUUUGAGGCCCUUGACAGAAAAUUGAGAGAUAUACUUUCAAUGAACGGCAGCAACAAAAAUGCUCUUCCUUUUGAUAUUCUACAAUAGAAAAAAACUUCUAUGCUACAUUGAUUUGAUCUCUCAUACAAAAACAACAGCUGGACGAAUCACAGCUAAACCGACGAUGGGCAAUUUCACGAGCACGGCAGGCCGCCGCGGCUUCGCACGGCUAGUACAGUUUAGACCGGCAAUGGGUGUGUAUUGCUAUGAUUCAAGUAAGUUGUGUUAUUGUACAAGCAGUGUUUAUGGAUGAAUAUAUAGUUCUACUAUUAUGUUGAUUAUGGUAUUUGUGGCCUUGCUAUGGAAAAAAAUCAGCACAUAUAGAAACCACUAAUGAAAGCUUAUUUCUUUCAUUUUUUUCAUCUCUUACACUUGUUUUCUAUGGUGUGCAUUCUCUUUAUUCGGAUACAACUUGCACAGACAGAAUUCAUGUUGCCAUUCACUACAAGAAAAACUGCAUACGCUGAGUGGUCGGUUGUAUGUUGAGUGUUACUUCAUGGGGUGCUCAGCAUAAAACCCAAUUUGCCGAGCAAAAACUAGAAACACUCAGCAUAAUAUUACCGACUUUCCUUCCUCUUCUUGCCGGUCAACUAUUUCUUUCGCUCUACUGAUAACAUCACACACGAUGCACCACUCUGUCAUAAUGCACACACACACUCCGUAUCCCACUACUUCGGCAAAUCAUUGCCUUGGGUCCCACUUCUAUAGCUACAUGGUCAUGCGCACAACUUCCACCACUCCAGCCGAUCUCAGUCAUGUUUCCCGUCGUCUUCGACACUCCCUUUACUUGUCUCGUGCCUCUAUCUGCUCACCCACGGUUGUAUCAUCGAUCGACCACUUUGCCGAGGCAUAUCACUUUGCAUCACUCCUACUUGCACACAUUGUAUAGUUGCCGAGUUUUUCUUAUCUCCAAGUACCAUGCACUAGGACAUCAAUAUGAUCAUAAUGUUGCAGUAUAGCUAGAAAGACAAAAGAAGAGCCAAAAACAACUUUCCGCUGAUUGAGUUGUGCCACGUUACCGAAAAAGCUCACGCCCCACUUUAUAUAUAAAGCAUGUUGUGGUACGUUCAAAAUAAGAUUUCGGCGACCAUGGCCAAGGUUAAAUCAAUCUCGCUUGAAGUUGAACAAGAAAAUUAACACUCAUUUGGCUAACAACAAGGACCACAAACAACAUUCCAAUUUAAAGAACAAACUGACUUUUGUCCUGUUCUGAGAAGAAGCACGAAUUGGCUUCUAGCCACUAUACGUAAUAAAAAAAUGGUGCAUGGGAGGGGGGUAGGGGGGAUGUUACGAAAGUUGCAAUCCACAUGAAAAUGACAGAGGCAUGACAAAGCAAAAUAAAAGAGAUAUGUUAGCUACUCAUAUAUUAUCGCCAACGGAAAAAUAAAUCCUAUGUAGCAACCGGCACACAGUAUUAGAACAACUCAAUUACAAGCAAAAAAUGGUUCUUAUGUGUGCGAGUACCAAUUGCCUUAACAAGUUGUACAACUUGAACCCGAAAGAAAUAUUCUUGAACUUAAUCAUUUUACACGUUUGUACCACUAGCACCUAGUUGGCUAGCUACUAGGUACGUGUGUCCCGACUAGUACGACCUGACCUCUUCUCGGCCAAUGAAGAUGAUGCAGUUAUUUUCGUGCCACGAGAUCAAAUGACGAUCGAAGUUCCUCCACAUCGGCAGAGGUAAUCUCAAUCAGAAGAAAUAACAGGCCGCGGACGAUUAUAUCUGACUACCUCAACGCGCGCACAUGUGCUUCGAAUUUGACCAGUGUAAUUCGUUGAGAACUAUUUUUUCUAUGAAACUUUCCAAGCUUAGUUAUACCUCAGAGAAGCAAUCGAUCAUGUGCAGGCAGUAUAAAUACACAACGUACGCAUGGUGGCAGUCUAUCUCAUCGUUACAGAUAUAUCUUCCUUGAUUAGUUUUGUAAGCUCUUCAUCAGCGAUGGAGUACUCGACGAAGCUAGUGGUGCUGCUCGUAGCUCUCAUGUCGGCCAUGGCGGUCACGGCCCAAAACUCGGAGCAGGACUUCGUGGACGCCCACAACGCGGCGCGCGCCGACGUGGGCCUUGGGGAGGUGACAUGGGAUGCUACGGUGGCAGCCUUCGCGCAGGACUACGCGGAUCAGCGCCGCGGCGACUGCCAGCUGAUCCAUACUCCUGAUGGCCGGCCGUACGGGGAGAACCUCUACGGAGGCGGCGGGACCGAGUGGACGGCGACGGACGCCGUGAAUUCAUGGGUGUCGGAGAAGCAGUACUACGACCACGACAGCAACACCUGCUCGGCGCCCGAGGGUGAGUCGUGCGGGCACUAC
This 43008-nucleotide long non-coding RNA is filed under the name Triticum aestivum (bread wheat). RNAcentral's name for it is "long non-coding RNA (TAES_LNC007960)". The record is from RNAcentral. Lineage: Eukaryota; Viridiplantae; Streptophyta; Magnoliopsida; Poales; Poaceae.